GACGAACGCUGGCGGCGUGCUUAACACAUGCAAGUCGAACGCUGAAGCUCAGCUUUUGUUGGGUGGAUGAGUGGCGAACGGGUGAGUAACACGUGAGUAACCUGCCUCCUUCUUUGGGAUAACGCCCGGAAACGGGUGCUAAUACUGGAUAUUCACUGGUCUUCGCAUGGGGGUUGGUGGAAAGGGUUUUUCUGGUGGGGGAUGGGCUCGCGGCCUAUCAGCUUGUUGGUGGGGUGAUGGCCUACCAAGGCUUUGACGGGUAGCCGGCCUGAGAGGGUGACCGGUCACAUUGGGACUGAGAUACGGCCCAGACUCCUACGGGAGGCAGCAGUGGGGAAUAUUGCACAAUGGGCGCAAGCCUGAUGCAGCGACGCCGCGUGAGGGAUGGAGGCCUUCGGGUUGUGAAGCUCUGUCGCUCAUGGUCAAGCCGCAACAAUGGUUGUGGUGAGGGUAGUGGGUAAAGAAGCGCCGGCUAACUACGUG
RNAcentral lists this ribosomal RNA (483 nucleotides) under uncultured bacterium. Its description in RNAcentral is "partial 16S ribosomal RNA". It matches the Rfam family "Bacterial small subunit ribosomal RNA", at positions 28 to 507 of the family's 1533-position model. The record is from RNAcentral.